RNAcentral lists this small nucleolar RNA (101 nucleotides) under Bos grunniens (domestic yak). Its description in RNAcentral is "Small nucleolar RNA U13 (ENSBGRG00000006585.1)". It matches the Rfam family "Small nucleolar RNA U13". The record is from Rfam by way of RNAcentral. Lineage: Eukaryota; Metazoa; Chordata; Mammalia; Artiodactyla; Bovidae. RNAcentral also lists the same sequence under 2 other names.
AUCAUUUUGAUUGUAGUUCAUAAGCAUAGUAAUUGGGUGUUCACACUAUUGUUGUGCUUCCCUCAUAUCUGUUAUGAGGUCAACACGGGACCCAUCUCAUG